UGAAACAAAACAAGUGAAGAAACAGAACCUUCUUUCUUCCCAAGUCUCAAUUGACAUGCAGGACACUCUGAUCACACAUGAAACUGAUUAUCAUCUUAAAUCCUGGAAUAUUAAGCUUGAGAUUGUUCCUCAUCAAAGCCUCCCUUCCUCGUUGCCUAUUCUUCCUUCUUAUUCUGAGCUUGUGAAGGGUCAUCAGCUUUCCCAGUAGACUGGUUUAUGCUAGCUUUUGCCUCGGCAAGAAAUGUAGGAUCCGGUUCAUGUUUACUAGAAGGUUCUUUCAUUGCCAUUAUAAUAUAAAUAGCAAUGACAAUGUUGACUGAUAUGACAGCAAGGAAUCCACUCAAGAGUGUAAGAGAAUGCGGAUUCAAUUG
RNAcentral lists this unclassified non-coding RNA (371 nucleotides) under Hevea brasiliensis (rubber tree). Lineage: Eukaryota; Viridiplantae; Streptophyta; Magnoliopsida; Malpighiales; Euphorbiaceae. The record is from RNAcentral.